Molecule: small nuclear RNA, 105 nt
Organism: Suncus etruscus (white-toothed pygmy shrew)
Lineage: Eukaryota; Metazoa; Chordata; Mammalia; Eulipotyphla; Soricidae
Source: RefSeq, a predicted model, not a curated record
AUGUUUGCUUCGGCUGCAUAAAUACUAAAAUUGGAAUGAGACAGAUAAGAUUAGCAUGGCUCCUACAAGGAUGACACACAAAUUCAUGAAAUAUUCCAUAUUUUU